GAACGAGUGGCGGACGGGUGAGUAACACGUGGGUAACCUGCCCUUAAGUGGGGGAUAACAUUUGGAAACAGAUGCUAAUACCGCAUAGAUCCAAGAACCGCAUGGUUCUUGGCUGAAAGAUGGCGUAAGCUAUCGCUUUUGGAUGGACCCGCGGCGUAUUAGCUAGUUGGUGAGGUAAUGGCUCACCAAGGCGAUGAUACGUAGCCGAACUGAGAGGUUGAUCGGCCACAUUGGGACUGAGACACGGCCCAAACUCCUACGGGAGGCAGCAGUAGGGAAUCUUCCACAAUGGACGCAAGUCUGAUGGAGCAACGCCGCGUGAGUGAAGAAGGCUUUCGGGUCGUAAAACUCUGUUGUUGGAGAAGAAUGGUCGGCAGAGUAACUGUUGUCGGCGUGACGGUAUCCAACCAGAAAGCCACGGCUAACUACGUGCCAGCAGCCGCGGUAAUACGUAGGUGGCAAGCGUUAUCCGGAUUUAUUGGGCGUAAAGCGAGCGCAGGCGGUUUUUUAAGUCUGAUGUGAAAGCCCUCGGCUUAACCGAGGAAGCGCAUCGGAAACUGGGAAACUUGAGUGCAGAAGAGGACAGUGGAACUCCAUGUGUAGCGGUGAAAUGCGUAGAUAUAUGGAAGAACACCAGUGGCGAAGGCGGCUGUCUGGUCUGUAACUGACGCUGAGGCUCGAAAG
Molecule: ribosomal RNA, 684 nt
Filed under: Lactobacillus casei group sp.
Lineage: Bacteria; Bacillati; Bacillota; Bacilli; Lactobacillales; Lactobacillaceae
Description: bacterial SSU rRNA
Rfam family: Bacterial small subunit ribosomal RNA
Source: RNAcentral